GAAAUUGUGGUCUCUAGAAAGAGCGAGGUUGAGUUACAGCCCUGAGGAGGGUGGUUGCAGAUGAGGAAACUGAGGCACAGCGAGUUUAAAUACCUUUCUCAAAGUGAUGGGGCUUUGGUCUGAAGUCUUGCUGUAAAGGCCAUGUUCUUAACCAGUAGGCAUUGUCUGUGACAACUCUCCAUGUAUUCCAACAGGAUGGGGAUUUGGAUCAGAACAGGGGGCUGCUGGCUGCAUGUGAGAAAAUUCCUCACCUCUGACCAACUUCAGAAUUGUUCAUCAGUGUGGACACUGUCAUUAGAUUUAGGGUCACCCUAACACAGAUGACCUCAUCUCCAGAUCCUCAACUAUAUCUGAAAAGACUCUUUCCCAGGAGAUGACCAAGGCCCCAUAUGGACGGGGGCAAACAGCAGCCAUGUGAAUGGGGGUCUGGGGAGAAUGAGGACCCUGGAAGCACCAGGAAAGGAUCCAGGCCUGGCUUCAUCAGGAGCAGGAGGCCCUGAGAAUCAACAUGUGCUGCCCUGAAGACUAACCAGGAGGAUUUGGGAGGGGCCGCUAGAAGGAAGGAGAUGACCAGCCUCCCAGGAUCCUUGGUGCCGGAGUCCAUCUUGGCUGAGAGCUCAUGGAGUUCCUGGGCCAGGGAUCAGAUUUGAGCCGCAUUUGUGACCUAUGCCACAGCUGCAGCAACGCUGGAUUCUUAACCCACUGGGUCAGGCCGGGGAUUCAACUUGUGUCCCAGUCCUGCAGAGAUGCUGCUGAUCCCGUUGUGCCAUAGCGGGGACUCCACUCUCCUUUCUUUUUUUCUGCCCUGAGUGCAGGAGUCUGGUUGAUGGCCUCAGUUAUCUGGGGGCUGGAGGCUGAUCAUCUCUGGUAGGCAGAGAACUGGAAUUCUACAUUCUAGUUUUGAUAGGGUUGGAGUACAGUAGUUACACAGGUAGUUGUAGAAGUCCCAGUAAGAGACCAUAAGUAAAGAGGGAAACCUAGGGGACUUUGGGAGAUCACUGUAAUUUAAUAACUGCUCAAGAGGGCCCUCAGAACAAGGUAGGUUUGCUAGACUAGUGGAGGCAAGAGAUAUGCCUUAGUCAUUGGAUGGGGGAUGGGGUGAGGCCUGCAUUCAAGUUCAGACCAAAGGCAGGAGUUUAAGGACCACCUUUCUGCUGAUUUCAAUAAGCACCAGGACAGUCCUAGUCUGACCUUAGAGGGUCAAAUACUCUCUUACCAGAUACCAAGAAGGAGCUACUAUUUCAAGAAAGAGGAAGAGGCAGGUUCCCCCCCAAUACACACACACUUGCGUCUUGGAUUAUGAGACUGCAGCCCACCUGAUCCUCAGGGCAGAGCCUCUUUGCCUAAUCUAUUUCUUGCUUUGUUUCUUACUGAAUUCCUUCUGCACUGAGGCACAGAGAACCUGGGCCUCAGUGAGUCCAGACACUGGGUGAGUGGCUCUAAUUUGAAAACUGUGGGUUCAGUCCCAAUCUGGGUUUAAGCUGGGUUUGAGUCCUGGCACCUGGGUUCACGUCCCAAGCUGGGUUUUGGCUGUACUCAAGUCAUAAGUGCUCUCAAUUUCAGUUUCUGGUUUGGCUGAGUUGCUGUCGCCCUUUCUGAAGCUCAGGGAAAAGUCCCAUAAUGCCUGGGUAUCUGCAGGUGGUGGGAGAUGUCUAUCAGGCCACCCCUUUUGCCCCUCAUCCCCUUCUUUUUUUUUUUUUUCUUUUGUCUUUUCUAGGGCCACUCCCACAGCAUAUGGAGGUUCCCAGGCUAGGGGUCUAGUUGGAGCUGAAGCUACCAGCCUACACCACAGCCACACCAGAUCCGAGCCGCGUCUGUGACCUACACCACAACUCACGGCAACGCCAGAUUCUUAACCCACUGAGCAAGGCCAGGGAUAGAACCUGCAACCUUAUGGUUCCUAGUCGGAUUCGUUAACCACUGAGCCAUGACGNUUUUUUUUUUUUUUUUUUUUUGUCUUUUUGCCACUUCUUGGGCCGCUCCUGCAGCAUAUGGAGGUUCCCAGGCUAGGAGUCUCCUCGGAGCUGUAGCUGCUGGCCUGCACCAGAGCCACAGCAAUGCAGGAUCCGAGCCACGUCUGCGACCUACACCACAACUCACGGCAACGCCGGAUUCUUAACCCACUGAGCAAGGCCAGGGAUAGAACCUGCAACCUUAUGGUUCCUAGUUGGAUUCGUUAACCACUGCGCCACGACGGGAACUCCCCUCUGAAAUCUUUGACGACCCAAGAUACUUCCAUUUACCAUUUGUUGGUACUGAAACCAAGCAGGGCCCUGUGGGGUUCCUGGGAACAAGACUUUCUGUGUCCCCAAUUUCUUGUUUUUAGGGAAAAACUUCAGCCUCCAAGAUCGUCACUGAGUUCCAAAGGGUAGGUUCAAAUAGCUGCUAAUCAGAGAAGGGAAGGGAUGAGGGAGGAAUAACCAAGAAACAAGAGUGCAGCCUUGGGGCUGGAUCCUGGUUCCUCUUCAAGGAAUAUACAUAACAAUAUCUGAGUUCUUUUGCAGAGCUAAACCCCCAACAAAUGGAAAACUGGAGAGGAGGACCACCAGCACCAGUCCUGGGGCUGCCGAACACCAACUUUGAAGAAGAAUGCAAGCUUGCAUCUACCCUGAUCCUUACCUGUGGCCCUAUUUUCUACUGCCACACUGUGUAAAAUCCCUUCCUGAUCUCUCCCAAGGUGGGGCACAGUCUUUAGGGCAUUAGCCUGCUGUGGCCUCCUUUGCUUGGCAAAGCAAUAAAGCUAUUUUUUUUCUCUU
Molecule: long non-coding RNA, 2756 nt
Filed under: Sus scrofa (pig)
Lineage: Eukaryota; Metazoa; Chordata; Mammalia; Artiodactyla; Suidae
Description: lncRNA (ENSSSCG00035046257.1)
Source: RNAcentral